RNAcentral lists this ribosomal RNA (704 nucleotides) under uncultured archaeon. RNAcentral's name for it is "bacterial SSU rRNA". It matches the Rfam family "Archaeal small subunit ribosomal RNA", at positions 1 to 704 of the family's 1478-position model. The record is from RNAcentral.
UCGCCCUUUUCCGGUUGAUCCCGCCGGACCUGACUGCUAUCGGAUUGAUACUAAGCCAUGCGAGUCAUUGUAGCAAUACAAGGCAGACGGCUCAGUAACGCGUAGUCAAUCUACCCUAUGGACGGGAAUAACCUCGGGAAACUGAGAAUAAUGCCCGAUAGAACAUUAUGCCUGGAAUGGUUUAUGUUUCAAAUGAUUUAUCGCCAUAGGAUGGGACUGCGGCCUAUCAGUUUGUUGGUGAGGUAAUGGCCCACCAAGACUAUUACAGGUACGGGCUCUGAGAGGAGUAGCCCGGAGAUGGGUACUGAGACACGGGCCCAGGCCCUAUGGGGCGCAGCAGGCGAGAAAACUUUGCAAUGUGCGAAAGCACGACAAGGUUAAUCCGAGUGGUUUCUGCUAAAGAAACCUUUUGUCAGUCCUAGAAACACUAACGAAUAAGGGGUGGGCAAGUUCUGGUGUCAGCCGCCGCGGUAAAACCAGCACCUCAAGUGGUCAGGAUGAUUAUUGGGCCUAAAGCAUCCGUAGCUCGUUUUGUAAGUUUUCGGUUAAAUCCAUGCGCUUAACGUAUGGGCUGCCGGGAAUACUGCAUAACUAGGAAGUGGGAGAGGUAGACGGUACUCGGGAGGAAGGGGUAAAAUCCUUUGAUCUCUUGAUGACCACCUGUGGCGAAGGCGGUCUACCAGAACACGUUCGACGGUGAGGGA